Molecule: ribosomal RNA, 444 nt
Filed under: uncultured Anaerolineaceae bacterium
Lineage: Bacteria; Bacillati; Chloroflexota; Anaerolineae; Anaerolineales; Anaerolineaceae
Description: bacterial SSU rRNA
Rfam family: Bacterial small subunit ribosomal RNA
Source: RNAcentral
ACAAGCGGUGGAGCAUGUGGUUAAUUCGACGCAACGCGAAGAACCUUACCAGGGCUUGACAUCCCCUGACCGCGUAUGAAAGUACGUUUUCACCCUCGGGUGACAGGGAGACAGGCGGUGCAUGGCUGUCGUCAGCUCGUGUCGUGAGAUGUUCGGUUAAGUCCGCUAACGAGCGCAACCCCCGUCGUAUGUUAUAUGUGUCAUACGAGACUGCCGGUAAAAAGCCGGAGGAAGGUGAGGAUGAUGUCAAGUCAGCAUGACCCUUAUAUCCAGGGCUACACACACGCUACAAUGGUCUGUACAAUGGGUAGCCAAGCCGCGAGGCGGAGCCAAUCCUGAAAGCAGGCCUCAGUUCAGAUUGCAGUCUGCAACUCGACUGCAUGAAGCCGGAGUUGCUAGUAACCGCAGGUCAGCAAUACUGCGGUGAAUACGUUCCCGGGUCUU